This 468-nucleotide ribosomal RNA is filed under the name uncultured bacterium. RNAcentral's name for it is "partial 16S ribosomal RNA". It matches the Rfam family "Bacterial small subunit ribosomal RNA", at positions 28 to 507 of the family's 1533-position model. The record is from RNAcentral.
GACGAACGCUGGCGGCGUGCUUAACACAUGCAAGUCGAACGGUGAAGCUCCAGCUUGCUGGAGUGGAUCAGUGGCGAACGGGUUAGUAACACGUGAGCAACCUGCCCCUGACUCUGGAAUAAGCGCUGGAAACGGCGUCUAAUACUGGAUACGAGAAGGGUCCGCAUGGGCACUUUCUGGAAAGUUUUUCGGUUGGGGAUGGGCUCGCGGCCUAUCAGCUUGUUGGUGAGGUAAUGGCUCACCAAGGCGACGACGGGUAGCCGGCCUGAGAGGGCGACCGGCCACACUGGGACUGAGACACGGCCCAGACUCCUACGGGAGGCAGCAGUGGGGAAUAUUGCACAAUGGGCGAAAGCCUGAUGCAGCGACGCCGCGUGAGGGAUGACGGCCUUCGGGUUGUAAACCUCUUUCAGCAGGGAAGAAGCGAAAGUGACGGUACCUGCAGAAGAAGCACCGGCUAACUACGUG